This 303-nucleotide ribosomal RNA is filed under the name uncultured bacterium. RNAcentral's name for it is "partial 16S ribosomal RNA". It matches the Rfam family "Bacterial small subunit ribosomal RNA", at positions 507 to 807 of the family's 1533-position model. The record is from RNAcentral.
AGCAGCCGCCACGGGAAUACGGAGGGGGCUAGCGUUGUUCGGAAUUACUGGGCGUAAAGCGUGCGCAGGCGGUGUUGUAAGACUGAUGUGAAAUCCCCGGGCUCAACCUGGGAACUGCAUUGGUGACUGCAACGCUGGAGUGCGGCAGAGGGGGAUGGAAUUCCGCGUGUAGCAGUGAAAUGCGUAGAUAUGCGGAGGAACACCGAUGGCGAAGGCAAUCCCCUGGGCCUGCACUGACGCUCAUGCACGAAAGCGUGGGGAGCAAACAGGAUUAGAUACCCCAGUAGUCCCUGUCUCUUAUAC